UGGUGGAGCAUGUGGUUUAAUUCGAUGCAACGCGAAGAACCUUACCAAGGCUUGACAUAUACGAGAACGGGCGAGAGAUCGUCAACUCUUUGGACACUCGUAAACAGGUGGUGCAUGGUUGUCGUCAGCUCGUGUCGUGAGAUGUUCGGUUAAGUCCGGCAACGAGCGCAACCCUCGUCCUAUGUUGCCAGCACGUUAUGGUGGGAACUCAUGGGAUACUGCCGUGGUCAACACGGAGGAAGGUGGGGAUGACGUCAAAUCAUCAUGCCCCUUAUGUCUUGGGCUUCACGCAUGCUACAAUGGCCGAUACAAUGGGCUGCGAUACCGCGAGGUGGAGCGAAUCCCAAAAAGUCGGUCUCAGUUCGGAUUGGGGUCUGCAACUCGACCCCANGAAGUNGGAGUCGC
RNAcentral lists this ribosomal RNA (405 nucleotides) under Leucobacter sp. AZTITEMP99. RNAcentral's name for it is "bacterial SSU rRNA". It matches the Rfam family "Bacterial small subunit ribosomal RNA", at positions 930 to 1335 of the family's 1533-position model. Lineage: Bacteria; Bacillati; Actinomycetota; Actinomycetes; Micrococcales; Microbacteriaceae. The record is from RNAcentral.